Molecule: transfer RNA, 75 nt
Filed under: Dasypus novemcinctus (nine-banded armadillo)
Lineage: Eukaryota; Metazoa; Chordata; Mammalia; Cingulata; Dasypodidae
Description: tRNA-Gly (CCC) (tRNA-Gly-CCC-28-1)
Rfam family: tRNA
About the family: Transfer RNA (tRNA) molecules are approximately 80 nucleotides in length.
Source: RNAcentral
GGAGUGGGUAUAGCUCAGUGGUUGAGCGCCUGCCUCCCAUGCUUGAGGUCCUGGGUUCGAUCCCCAGUACCUCCU